UACGUAGGGCGCAAGCGUUAUCCGGAAUUACUGGGCGUAAAGCGAGCGUAGUCGGUUAUUUAAGUCGGGUGUGAAAGCCCCGGGCUCAACCUGGGAAUUGCAUUCGAUACUGGAUAGCUAGAGUUCGGCAGAGGGAAGCGGAAUUUCCGGUGUAGCGGUGAAAUGCGUAGAUAUCGGAAGGAACAUCAGUGGCGAAAGCGGCUUCCUGGACCAGAACUGACGAUCAGGCUCGAAAGCGUGGGGAGCAAACAGG
RNAcentral lists this ribosomal RNA (253 nucleotides) under uncultured bacterium. RNAcentral's name for it is "partial 16S ribosomal RNA". It matches the Rfam family "Bacterial small subunit ribosomal RNA", at positions 524 to 776 of the family's 1533-position model. The record is from RNAcentral.